This is a long non-coding RNA of Dryobates pubescens (Downy woodpecker), 337 nucleotides long. RefSeq lists it as uncharacterized. The record is from RefSeq and is a predicted model, not a curated record. Lineage: Eukaryota; Metazoa; Chordata; Aves; Piciformes; Picidae. The transcript is spliced from 3 exons.
GAUGUGAAAUCAACUGGAAUAGUCUCUGCCCUGCUUCCCUGGAGACUCAGUCCACUGACUACAGCUGAAACUAUUUGUCUGUGAUAAGGAUCUCCUCCAUGUCACUACAAAGACCUGACCUUUGCUGAUGACAUAAGAUGCAGGAUUGUAAAAAUGUUAUCUCCUGAUAUAUUGUCACCUUAGAUGGUCAAAUGAGCUGCUGUGAAAUCUCCCAGACAUAAUAUCCGAGUAUAACAUCUAUCCUGGAUCUGAGCUCCCUCAGGCUUUUACCUUCCUGUGAUCCAUUUGGCAUGACAAAUACCAUGCCUGCAAGACGUCCCUUGGCUGCAGUCCUGCA